UUUACUAAGUUUGAGUUGUAAUCUGUAGAGGAUGUCGCUGACGGAAAGAUGCUCCUAAGUCCCCUGGAACGGGGUGCCAUGAGGGUGAGAGCCCCGUACGGAGCUGUCUGAACGGUCAAGAUGCGGCUCCUUCGACGAGUCGAGUAGUUUGGGAAUGCUGCUCUAAACGGGGAGGUAAAUUCCUUCCAAGGCUAAAUAUCGGCCGGAGACCGAUAGCGCACAAGUAGAGUGAUCGAAAGAUGAAAAGUACUUUGAAAAGAGGGUUAAAUAGUACGUGAAAUUGUUGAAAGGGAAGCGCCCGCGACUAGACUUGUACCUGACCGAUCGCUCUACGUUCGUCGUAGAGUCUCCCAGUCAUGGUUUGCAGGCCAGCAUCGGUUUGCGCUGGGGGACAAGCACGGUGGGAACGUAGCUCAUCUCAUGGUGAGUGUUAUAGCCUGUUGUAUAGUACCCUGGCGUGGAUCGAGGAACGCGUCUUUGACACGGAUGCUGGCGUAAUGGUCGUUGACGACCCGUCUUGAAACACGGACCAAGGAGUCGAGGUUUUCCGCGAGUGUGUGGGUGGAAAAACCCGCCCGCGAAAUGAAAGUGAACGUAGGUGAGAGCUCUUUUUCUGGGGCGCAUCACCGACCGAUCCCAAUGUUCUCGGAGGGAAUUGAGUAUGAGCGGAGGGCCUCGGACCCGAAAGAUGACGAACUAUGCCUGCAUAGAAUGAAGCCAGAGGAAACUCUGGUGGAG
RNAcentral lists this ribosomal RNA (738 nucleotides) under Meliola vernaliae. RNAcentral's name for it is "eukaryotic LSU rRNA". It matches the Rfam family "Eukaryotic large subunit ribosomal RNA", at positions 128 to 872 of the family's 3401-position model. The record is from RNAcentral. Lineage: Eukaryota; Fungi; Ascomycota; Sordariomycetes; Meliolales; Meliolaceae.